GAUGAACGCAGGCGGCGUGCCUAACACAUGCAAGUCGAACGGAGUUGUUAUUAGGAAGUUUUCGGAUGGAAUAAUAAUAACUUAGUGGCGGACGGGUGAGUAACGCGUGGGUAACCUGCCUCAUACAGGGGGAUAACAGUUGGAAACGGCUGCUAAAACCGCAUGACAUUGCGAUGUCGCAUGACAAUGCAAUGAAAUAUUUAUAGGUAUGAGAUGGGCCCGCGUCUGAUUAGCUAGUUGGUGAGGUAAUGGCCCACCAAGGCGACGAUCAGUAGCCGGCUUGAGAGAGUGACCGGCCACAUUGGGACUGAGACACGGCCCAAACUCCUACGGGAGGCAGCAGUGGGGAAUAUUGCACAAUGGGGGAAACCCUGAUGCAGCGACGCCGCGUGAGUGAAGAAGUAUUUCGGUAUGUAAAGCUCUGUCAGCAGGGAAGAAAAUGACGGUACCUGACUAAGAAGCCCCGGCUAACUACGUGCCAGCCGCCGCCGUAA
Molecule: ribosomal RNA, 494 nt
Filed under: uncultured bacterium
Lineage: Bacteria
Description: partial 16S ribosomal RNA
Rfam family: Bacterial small subunit ribosomal RNA
Source: RNAcentral